GCCGCGAUUCGCGGGUAUUUAGGGGGCGGAGCUUAAUGCCGUGAAGAGCCCGCCCCCCAUCAGAGACUUGUGGCUGUGUGUUGUUGUUGGCAAGGGUAACUGUCUAAUGCUGGAUCCUAUCUCCCCCCCCCUCUUCUCUCUCUGACUGACCUAGCCUUUCUCUCUUUCUCUCCAUAAUUCUCUCUCUAUCUUGCUCCUCUCUCUAUUCUGACACUCCCUCUUGCUUCUCUCUCCCCUCUCAUCCAUUUCUCCCUGACACCCUCUCUCUUUCUCUAAUUCCCUCUUUUCCAAUGAAACCCUCACUUUCUAUCCCUGAUUCCCCCCCCCCCCCCUCUUUCUUGCUCCUCUCCCUCCUUCUCUCUCUCUUCCCCUGUUAACCUCUGUUUCUCACUUUCACUCUCCCCCCAAGAAGAAUUGUAGUGACAACAGAGAGAGAGGGGGACGGGGGGCCCUUUCAAGAUCACACCUUCCUGAGCAUCACACCCGCACGGCCGCAGAUUCACUGUUUUAGGUGGCGUCACCUGCGUCCCGCUGACGGCGGCACUGCCUACAUCCGGCUGAAGCCGCUGCCGCCCACAUGACUGUGUCCUGCUGCUGAAGCCGCCACCCGCACACCCGUGUCCCUGUGAAGCCAUCCGCCUGUGUACAGCUUAAGCCGCCGCCGCUGCUGCUGAGGUCCUGGCAGCGUUGCGGCUGAGUUCUGUGAAGUGGACAGGAGGAGUCAGGAGCCGGUAACAGCACGACCCAGACAGGCAGCGGCUGCUUGAUUAAGGAACAAGCAUACAGUAGUGACAGCUACAACACCAGGAUAAAAUUAAAGUGAGAUAAGGCUUCCAUCUCAGAGAAUGACACAAGGAUAAAAUUAAAGUGAGAUGAGGCUUCCAUCUCAGAGAAUGAUACAAGAUAAUGCCUUUCCCUGUUUCCCCCCACUUAGUGCAUAAAAUAUAGAAAUAUGUGUAGAUCACUGAAAUCAGCAAAAUGUUUUUUAAGUAAUUCAACACCGUAUUUCAAAGGGAAAAUAAAAUAAAAUUGCCAGCAGCCCAGAGCAUACAGACUAAACUAGCAAUGUCUAAACUGAAUGUUGGAGAUUGGCAGCUAUAGAACUUUAAGAAAGACAGGCAUGAGCAGCUAAUUCAUACAAGAUAUUAUACUGUGACCCUCAAAUGUCUCAGUUGGUGACGGGCCAUUAAUGGAGAAGUUUCACUUAAAAUGCACCUUGGCACUUGCACCUUUUUUCC
Molecule: long non-coding RNA, 1238 nt
Organism: Pseudophryne corroboree (corroboree frog)
Lineage: Eukaryota; Metazoa; Chordata; Amphibia; Anura; Myobatrachidae
Exons: 4
Source: RefSeq, a predicted model, not a curated record